Ictalurus punctatus (channel catfish) is the source of this 1510-nucleotide long non-coding RNA. RefSeq lists it as uncharacterized. Lineage: Eukaryota; Metazoa; Chordata; Actinopteri; Siluriformes; Ictaluridae. The record is from RefSeq and is a predicted model, not a curated record. The transcript is spliced from 5 exons.
GUACAUGUUAAUCCCCUCACUCCACCCUGUUCCUGUGCUAAAACAGGCUUGGUGUUGAAAGUGAAAGUUUGGGAGGAGCCAUAUAGAGGACCAGAGCUCUGGAGGAGGACAAGUCAUUGCUGAGUACUCUCUCAAAGUAGCAGCAACACUCACAAACCGAAAGAGGUCAUGGCUGGAACAUGUCUUAUUCACUGUGUCCUGAUUCAAGUCCUGCUUAUCACAGUCUAUGCUCAAUUACCAACAAACUGUACAAAUCAAGCUACCACUGAGGGAAAACCAGUACAUCUAACCUGCAAUGUCACAUGUAAAAAAUGUGAAACACAGAGUUAUUUUUGGAAGCAUGGAGAAGCUCAAAUCAACUGCAGUAAAAUGCAUAACUUUCCAAGUGGCAACAGUCAUAUAUUUAAUUGCACAAUUGAAAGUGCAUCAGCGAAUCACAGUGGAACAUUUACAUUUUGGGUACAAAUGAAAGAAGGAAUUGGUGAAACAGAAUUCAGCGUGACCAUAGAGCGGCCUGCUGCUAAUCUCACCACACCAGGUCCUGUUUCUACAACCAAUUCUCACGCUCAUAAAGGGAAACUUGAGAACCCAAAAAAAAAUCCUGAAGUUGCCUUGGCUGUAUUGCUCAUGAUUUGUCUUGCCUUGUGCAUCAUUGUUGCAGUUUUGUUUAUAAGAAAUAACAACUGUAAUAUGUCAGCAAUAUUCACUCGCAAAAUGAUCACAGAAACUGAAGUAAUAUAAUCCCAAUACAUACAGUAGUUGUGACACUGUGCCAAGCUCAGAAAGAUAAGCUUUCUUUAUGUCAGUCUCUGUCAUGGCAGAGGGACAGGAUUAAGGAAAUUAAGGAAAAAGGGGGAAAUGUACAGUUAAGGGGAAAAUAUAAUCCCAUAUAUGUAGCAGAUUCUUUUCUUUCUUUCUUUUUCUAACGCUUCAUUUCUAGUUUCAGUGAAAUAUUUAUCUCUUACUUAUCACUGUGUGAUGCUUUUCAAUUGCUAAUGGACUGGUGUGAACUGACUCCUUUUCUGAUUUUGAGAUUUUGUGGGAUCUGUUUUUAAACAUCUGUGGUGAUUUUUACCCGUAGCUUUUUUUUUUUUUACAAUUAUUUACCUUCUCAGAAUGAAAAAGGUAACAUACCGUACAAACAUUUCUCACUGCUGUAAUAUACUCGAGAACAUGUUGUUUAUACCGUUACUUAUAUAAACACAAAUAUAUAGUAUUAUAAUUAAUGGUAUAUAAUUUUUAAGGACAACUGUUGUACCUUUGACAACAAAAAUACUUGUACAGUGCUUUUUGAGAGAAUAUUGAGAAUGAAUUGUAUUCUGUGAUUUAAUUUUAUUUUUUUUAUAAUAAUAAUAAUACAUUGUGGAGCAGAACACUGAAUAGACUUUGGUGUUGCACUUUUGUGUACUUUUGUAUAUUGUGUAUUCUGUUGUAUUGCCAGUUCUGUUGUAUUGUGUGCUUUUUUUUACUGUAAAUGUGAAUAUAUUAAUAAAUGUACAGAAUUCACGUA